Molecule: non-coding RNA, 2788 nt
Organism: Cajanus cajan (pigeon pea)
Lineage: Eukaryota; Viridiplantae; Streptophyta; Magnoliopsida; Fabales; Fabaceae
Source: RefSeq, a predicted model, not a curated record
GAUGUCCAGGAGGUACCGAGUUUUCUCGUUGAGAUACUUGUGAACGCAUCCAAUUUAGAGUGUCUUAAAAUAAGUGGAUUCAGUUUUCUUGAGUUGUUCCCCUCUCAACCUGAACAAAGUGAGUGUGACACCACAGUGCACAGACACUCGACGACCUUGUCCCUUGUCUGUCUGCACAAGUUAUGUGUUUCCUCGUUUCCUCGUUUGACAACAUUAGUACAUUCUGCAUUGUCAUUCUCCAAUCUAAAACAAUUAUCUAUAAAAGAUUGCCAAGAAUUGAAGUACUUAUUUACAUCCUCAACUGCAAGAACGUUAGUUCAUCUUGAAGAGAUGUCCAUAAUGCAAUGUGAAUUAGUGGAAGUAAUAUUGGCAAAAGGGCUAGAAGAAACUACUUCAGAGGUGAUAAGAUUUGAGCGACUCAACACUAUAAAUCUAGAUUCCUUAUCAAGCCUGUCAUGUUUUUAUUCAGGCAGUGACACACUGCUAUUAUCAUCUCUGAUAAGAGUGAUCAUAUGGGAAUGCCCCAACAUGAAGAUUUUCUCCCAAGGAGUCAUAGAUGCCAAAUUCUUUUUGGGAAUUCAAGUCUCGUUGGAUCCAAAUGAGGAUUUGUUCUUCUACCAAGAUCUUAACACCACUGUGAAGGGGAUGUUCCAACGACAGGGAUUUUUUAAAGGCUUGGGCAAGAAGUGUUCUUUUAAUUGUUUAAAGCAACAUCAUGGUAGAGUUGGUCAGCAAAACAAAUGGUUGUGCAAGUUGGUAACUUUAAAGCUGGACAAGUGCAUUUUACCAUAUGCAAUUCCAUCUGCUAUACUUCCUCAUUUAAACAACUUGGAAGAAUUGCAAGUGCGGAAGAGCGACAAAGUAAGGGUGAUUUUUGAUAUGAAUGACACUGAGAUAAUAGAAACACCAUCCCGGUUGAAGAAAUUGACUUUACAAGGGCUAUCGCAGCUGAAGCGUGUGUGGGAAAAGAAUAGUCAUGGAGUUCUGAUGUUUGGAAAUCUGCAAGAGAUCUUUGUUAGUGAGUGUGAAAACCUCCAAACUUUAUUUCCUUCUUUGCUGGCAAAGAAUCUUGAGAAGCUUGAGAAACUCGAAAUGAAAUUUUGUUUUAAAUUGCAAAAAAUUGUUGAAGAGGAAGAAGGCACAGCAGAAAAGUUUGUGUUCCCUCGUUUAGAGAAGUUGGAUCUUUGUGACUUGCCACAGCUCACUUACUUUUACCCUCAAACAUUUACUCUGGAAUGCCCCACCUUAAAUAAAUUAAAUGUGUUGUUUUGUGAUGAGUUGGAAUUAUUUCAAAGUGCUUCAAUUAACAGACUUCCUCUUGUCUCAAAUCUGAAGGUCGUUUCCAACCUGAAGGAAUUGAAACUUGAUUGGAAACACAUUUCGGCAUUAAGUUUAAGGUUUAAGUCUGAGCAAUUUGGAGAAGGCCUCGAAUAUUUAAACGAAAUUUCCCUGUUGUUUGACGCUGAUGAGAAUAAGAAACCUGUGUUGCCUCUCCAAAAAGCACCUGAUUUAACACAUUUGGGUUUAGCAUAUUGGAAAAGUCCUGGGAUAUUCCUUGCUGAAAAGCCCAAAAUUGGUGUGGACGGGAUGAGACAAUUAAAAAUAUUGACACUAUACCACAUAUCUGAGCUCCAGUCCAUCGAGUCAGAAGACUCAUCAUGGUUAAACACAAUUUGUGAGGAGCUCCACGUAUUAAAUGUUGUCAGAUGUAUUCAUUUCACAGCAUUAGUACAUUCUCCUUCUACAAUAUCCUUCUAUUGUCUCAUAAAAGUGUCCAUAUCCAACUGUCCCAAAUUGCAGUAUUUAUUUACAUCUUCAGUGGGCAAAAAGUUAAUGAACCUUGAGGAAAUCACAAUCCAGGAAUGUGAAUCAGUGAAAGAAAUAGUGUCUGGAGAGAGUGAUGAAGAUAAAGAUGAAGAUGAACACAAAGAAGGUGAUGAUAAAUUUGAAAAUGAGAUUAUAUUCGAGAAGCUUCAGAUUUUGAGACUUGACUCAUUACCAAAAUUUGAAGGCUUUUACACGGGGAGUUCCACUUUGAAUUUGCCAUCCUUGAAAGAAGUGUUGUUCACCGAAUGCUUCAACACGAAACUUUUCCGUCUUGGUGACAAAGUGCCAACAAAAUUGAACGUCACAAAAGAUGGAGUCAAAUGGAAAAGUGAUCCAUAUAAAUUUUGUGAUCAUGCAACAGUUUUAGGAGGCAACCUGAAAUAGUUUGGUUACAAUUCCCUUUACUUGUAUGAAAUUGUUGUCAGUAGAAGCUUAUUGUCAUAGCAUUCGCUUAUGGUACCCUUGAAAACUAGUAUGAAGCACAGCAACAGAGCAGAAGACAUGGAAUGUUAGUUUAGGGAAUCAGGGGAACUCGAAGAAGCCAAUGAUAGCAUCAUGACAACAACUUUCGACAAGUCAAGGGGUUUUCUUUUCUUUGGAAGUGUGGUGUUCAUAAUAAAGUUUCCUUGUAUACUACAAAGGUGUUUUAUGAAUAAAGUAGUCCCUUAUUUAUACAGGACCAAAGGUGUGUGUUAAAAUUAUAUCAGUGUUUCAUAUAUUUGAUGUAACAAGGAGGAAUUAAUUUUAACAAUUAAACAGUGCAGCAAUUAAACUGAGAAGGACAGCACAACCACUUAAUGGAAAACUGGAAAGAGUGCACUUCCUAUGAGAUCAAACGAGAUCAUAGGGAAUCACUCAAUUGGUAUUUAAUGGAAAGUUCAGUACAUACUUCAGCAAUGAAAGAAAAAAGUACACUGAGAGAGAGAAGAAUAAUUUCCCAAUCAUUGCCUCCAUUCUCUCU